GCCCUGGAAAGAAGCUGCUUCAAGUCCAGGCCUGGGACUUGCCUGGGAACCCUGGGGUGCCUGGGGAACUGCCACUUUGCUUUUCUGGGGC
Molecule: small nucleolar RNA, 91 nt
Filed under: Pelusios castaneus (West African mud turtle)
Lineage: Eukaryota; Metazoa; Chordata; Testudines; Pelomedusidae
Description: Z6 small nucleolar RNA (ENSPCEG00000018778.1)
Source: Rfam by way of RNAcentral